AGCGAACGCUGGCGGCGUGCCUAACACAUGCAAGUCGAACGUGAAAGUCCUUCGGGAUGAGUAAAGUGGCGUACGGGUGAGUAACACGUAGGUAAUCUACCUUAAAGCUUGGAAUAACCUGCCGAAAGGCGGGCUAAUACUGGAUAGUGCGAAGGCAUCGUAAGGAUGUUUUCGGGAAAGGGUACUCGCAAGAGGGCCCACUUUAAGAUGAGCCUGCUUCCCAUUAGCUAGUUGGUAGGGUAAUGGCCUACCAAGGCUUUGAUGGGUAGCUGGUCUGAGAGGAUGAUCAGCCACACUGGAACUGAAACACGGUCCAGACUCCUACGGGAGGCAGCAGUGGGGAAUAUUGCGCAAUGGACGAAAGUCUGACGCAGCAACGCCGCGUGAGUGAAGAAGGCCUUCGGGUUGUAAAGCUCUGUCGUGUGGAAGAAAAACUGUGACGAACAGAAUUGACGGUACCACAAAAGGAAGCACCGGCUAACUCCGUGCCAGCAGCCGCAGUAA
RNAcentral lists this ribosomal RNA (504 nucleotides) under uncultured bacterium. Its description in RNAcentral is "partial 16S ribosomal RNA". It matches the Rfam family "Bacterial small subunit ribosomal RNA", at positions 29 to 523 of the family's 1533-position model. The record is from RNAcentral.